RNAcentral lists this transfer RNA (90 nucleotides) under Streptomyces eurythermus. RNAcentral describes it as "tRNA-Arg". Lineage: Bacteria; Bacillati; Actinomycetota; Actinomycetes; Kitasatosporales; Streptomycetaceae. The record is from RNAcentral.
GCCCGGCUACGGCGGGCUGCGGCUGCUCUUCGACGGCGGCCGGCUGGGCCCCGGCGAGGCCUCCCGGGUGCUGCUGCCCGGACCCGAGCU